CCUACGGGAGGCAGCAGUGGGGAAUAUUGCACAAUGGGGGGAACCCUGAUGCAGCGACGCCGCGUGAGUGAAGAAGUAUUUCGGUACGUAAAGCUCUAUCAGCAGGGAAGAAAAUGACGGUACCUGACUAAGAAGCCCCGGCUAACUACGUGCCAGCAGCCGCGGUAAUACGUAGGGGGCAAGCGUUAUCCGGAUUUACUGGGUGUAAAGGGGGCGUAGACGGCAGGGCAAGUCUGGAGUGAAAGCCCAUGGCCUAACCCUGGGACUGCUUUGGAAACUGUGCAGCUGGAGUGCAGGAGAGGUAAGCGGAAUUCCUAGUGUAGCGGUGAAAUGCGUAGAUAUUAGGAGGAACACCAGUGGCGAAGGCGGCUUACUGGACUGUAACUGACGUUGAGGCUCGAAAGCGUGGGGAGCAAACAGGAUUAGAUACCCGGGUAGUC
This 440-nucleotide ribosomal RNA is filed under the name uncultured bacterium. Its description in RNAcentral is "partial 16S ribosomal RNA". It matches the Rfam family "Bacterial small subunit ribosomal RNA", at positions 338 to 795 of the family's 1533-position model. The record is from RNAcentral.